CAGACUGAGGGGAGAAGAACUUGGUGUUUGGACGUGACGUAUGCCUAGGGGCCUGUUGUCGUGGCGCAAGCUUCUAGCCUGUCUUCACUUCUUACCAACAUCUCUACACCUUCCUGGAGCUUCAACCAUGGCUGGCAUUCUUGCUCUUGUGCACCUUCAACAUGCUGAUCGAGCUGAUAAAGCAAGGUUACCAAGGAGACUGGUCAAGGAUCACCAAAACCCUUUUGCUGCCUACUCUGAGGAUGAGUUCAUUCGGAGGUACCGGCUGUCAAAGGAGUGCAUUCACACCCUUCUUGGCCAAGUGGAAGUGCUUUCCUCUAUCCCAAAAUUGUAAUGCAUAUCAGUUCAAUCUUAAACUCUAUUGCAUCUGUCAUUUGAUACAUUGUUAUGUGACUCAAUACAAGAUACAAGUACCAUGUAGGAUGUAAUUAUAUAUUUUCCUGUGAAGGACAAGACAUGAAAGAAAUGUUAUAUAUAAUCAUAUAUGAACCCUCAAAGUGUAGGUCAUGAAAAUAAAUGGAGGUCAAGA
Scylla paramamosain (green mud crab) is the source of this 529-nucleotide long non-coding RNA. RefSeq lists it as uncharacterized. The transcript is spliced from 3 exons. The record is from RefSeq and is a predicted model, not a curated record. Lineage: Eukaryota; Metazoa; Arthropoda; Malacostraca; Decapoda; Portunidae.